UAACCUUACCCAUUAAAAACCAAAUCUUAGCCAUGUAGUUUCCAAAUCAAAACAAAGGUCCAAAGAAAUCGAAACAAAAACGAAACAACAAAACAACAGAAAUCUCAUGUAAUAAUCAUGGGGGUUAUGGCAUUUGAGGCGAUGUGAACAAGAUGGCAAUAUCGAAUCAUGCAAAGGAGAAAUGUUAAAUACCAAAUCGGAGCUAGUCCGACGUUUCAACUCUGGCAAGGUGAGGUAAAUGAUCCUUAGGUCUUUCAAGGUUCUUUCUUCCUCUCGAACUUUCCGUCUUCUUCGCUUCCUCUUUAACGAUUUGGGUUCGUUUCGGUUUUGACAGGGGGCUUAGCUCGAGCUUGUUGAGCUUCGGUG
Molecule: long non-coding RNA, 366 nt
Filed under: Lathyrus oleraceus (garden pea)
Lineage: Eukaryota; Viridiplantae; Streptophyta; Magnoliopsida; Fabales; Fabaceae
Description: Pisum sativum (pea) long non-coding RNA (PSAT_LNC011776)
Source: RNAcentral